CCUACGGGAGGCAGCAGUGGGGAAUAUUGCACAAUGGGGGAAACCCUGAUGCAGCGACGCCGCGUGAGCGAUGAAGUAUUUCGGUAUGUAAAGCUCUAUCAGCAGGGAAGAAGAUGACGGUACCUGACUAAGAAGCCCCGGCUAACUACGUGCCAGCAGCCGCGGUAAUACGUAGGGGGCAAGCGUUAUCCGGAUUUACUGGGGGUAAAGGGAGCGUAGACGGCGUUCCAAGCCAGAUGUGAAAGCCCGGGGCUCAACCCCGGGACUGCAUUGGGAACUGUCGGGCUGGAGUGUCGGAGAGGCAGGCGGAAUUCCUAGUGUAGCGGUGAAAUGCGUAGAUAUUAGGAGGAACACCAGUGGCGAAGGCGGCCUGCUGGACGAUGACUGACGUUGAGGCUCGAAAGCGUGGGGAGCAAACAGGAUUAGAUACCCGUGUAGUC
Molecule: ribosomal RNA, 440 nt
Filed under: uncultured bacterium
Lineage: Bacteria
Description: partial 16S ribosomal RNA
Rfam family: Bacterial small subunit ribosomal RNA
Source: RNAcentral